GGUUAAGUUAACAAGGGCGCAUGGUGAAUGCCUUGGCACUAGGAGCCGAUGAAGGACGGGACUAACACCGAUAUGCUUCGGGGAGCUGUACGUAAGCUAUGAUCCGGAGAUUUCCGAAUGGGGCAACCCAGCAGUUUUAAUCAACUGUUACCACUAGAUGAAUUCAUAGUCUAGUUGGAGGUAAACGCUGUGAACUGAAACAUCUCAUUAGCAGCAGGAAUAUAAAGAAAUUUCGAUUCCCUAAGUAGCGGCGAGCGAACGGGGAACAGCCCAAACCAAAGUGCUUGCACUUUGGGGUUGUAGGACUGAACAUUUGAGUUACCAAAGAACUUGAUAGUCGAAGGAUUUGGGAAAAUCCGCCAUAGAUGGUGAUAGCCCAGUAGAUUAAAUCAAAUUCUCUCAGUUCAGGAUCCUGAGUACGGCGGAACACGUGAAAUUCCGUCGGAAUCCGGGAGGACCAUCUCCCAAGGCUAAAUACUACCUAGUGACCGAUAGUGAACCAGUACCGUGAGGGAAAGGUGAAAAGCACCCCGGGAGGGGAGUGAAAUAGUUCCUGAAACCAUGUGCCUACAAUAAGUCAGAGCGCGUUAAUGCGUGAUGGCGUGCCUUUUGUAGAAUGAACCGGCGAGUUAUGAUCCCGUGCAAGGUUAAGACUAAAAAGUCGGAGCCGUAGCGAAAGCGAGUCUGAAAUGGGCGAUUUGAGUACGAGGUUAUAGACCCGAAACCAGGUGACCUAUCCAUGUCCAGGUUGAAGGUGCGGUAAAACGCACUGGAGGACCGAACCCGUGUAAGUUGAAAAUUGCUGGGAUGAGGUGUGGAUAGCGGUGAAAUUCCAAACGAACUUGGAGAUAGCUGGUUCUCUCCGAAAUAGCUUUAGGGCUAGCCUCGGAUUAAGGAUCAUGGAGGUAGAGCACUAUUUGGACUAGGGGCCCGUCUUGGGUUACUGAAUUCAGAUAAACUCCGAAUGCCAUUGAUUCAUGUCCGGGAGUCAGACGAUGAGUGAUAAGAUCCACCGUCGAAAGGGGAACAGCCCAGACCAUCAGUUAAGGUCCCUAAAUGUAUGCUAAGUGGAAAAGGAUGUGGAGUUGCAUAGACAACUAGGAUGUUGGCUCAGAAGCAGCCACCAUUUAAAGAGUGCGUAAUAGCUCACUAGUCGAGUGAUCCUGCGCCGAAAAUGUACCGGGGCUAAGCAUACUACCGAAACCAUGGAUGCGACCAUUAGGUCGCGUGAUAGGAGAGCGUUCUAAGGGCGGUGAAGCAAGAUCGUGAGGACUUGUGGAGCGCUUAGAAGUGAGAAUGCCGGUAUGAGUAGCGAAAGAUAGGUGAGAAUCCUAUCCACCGAAUGACUAAGGUUUCCUGGGGAAGGCUCGUCCUCCCAGGGUUAGUCGGGACCUAAGUCGAGGCCGAGAGGCGUAGACGAUGGAUAACAGGUUGAGAUUCCUGUACUAGUUAAGUGCGUUUGAGCAAUGGAGGGACGCAGGAGGCUAAGAUGUGCAUUCUGUUGGAUUAGGAUGUCCAAGCAGUAAGUCUUGUGGAGAGUCAAAUGCUUUUCAAUUUAAGGACAAGCUGUGAUGGGGAGCGAAAUUUAGUAGCGAAGCGUCUGAUGUCACACUGCCGAGAAAAGCUUCUAGUGAGUACUUAACUACCCGUACCGCAAACCGACACAGGUAGUCGAGGAGAGAAUCCUAAGGUGAGCGAGUGAACUCUCGUUAAGGAACUCGGCAAAAUGACCCCGUAACUUCGGGAGAAGGGGUGCUGAUCGCAAGAUCAGCCGCAGUGAAUAGGCCCAGGCGACUGUUUAUCAAAAACACAGGUCUCUGCAAAAUCGUAAGAUGACGUAUAGGGGCUGACGCCUGCCCGGUGCUGGAAGGUUAAAAGGAUGGGUUAGCUUCGGCGAAGCUCAGAAUUGAAGCCCCAGUAAACGGCGGCCGUAACUAUAACGGUCCUAAGGUAGCGAAAUUCCUUGUCGGGUAAGUUCCGACCCGCACGAAAGGCGUAACGAUCUGGGCACUGUCUCAACGAGAGACUCGGUGAAAUUAUAUUGUCCGUGAAGAUGCGGACUACCCGCGACAGGACGGAAAGACCCCAUGGAGCUUUACUGUAGCUUGAUAUUGAGUGUUUGUACAGCUUGUACAGGAUAGGUAGGAGCCAUAGAAACCGGAACGCUAGUUUCGGUGGAGGCGUUGGUGGGAUACUACCCUCGCUGUAUGACCACUCUAACCCGCACCACUAAUCGUGGUGGGAGACAGUGUCAGGUGGGCAGUUUGACUGGGGCGGUCGCCUCCUAAAAAGUAACGGAGGCGCCCAAAGGUUCCCUCAGAAUGGUUGGAAAUCAUUCGCAGAGUGUAAAGGCACAAGGGAGCUUGACUGCGAGACAGACAGGUCGAGCAGGGACGAAAGUCGGGCUUAGUGAUCCGGUGGUACCGUAUGGAAGGGCCAUCGCUCAACGGAUAAAAGCUACCCUGGGGAUAACAGGCUUAUCUCCCCCAAGAGUCCACAUCGACGGGGAGGUUUGGCACCUCGAUGUCGGCUCAUCGCAUCCUGGGGCUGUAGUCGGUCCCAAGGGUUGGGCUGUUCGCCCAUUAAAGCGGUACGCGAGCUGGGUUCAGAACGUCGUGAGACAGUUCGGUCCCUAUCCGUCGCGGGCGUAGGAAAUUUGAGAGGACCUGUCCUUAGUACGAGAGGACCGGGAUGGACAUACCUCUGGUGUACCAGUUGUGCCGCCAGGCGCAUCGCUGGGUAGCUACGUAUGGAUGUGAUAAACGCUGAAAGCAUCUAAGUGUGAAACACACCUCGAGAUGAGAUUUCCCAUUCCUUUAUGGAAGUAAGACCCCUGAAAGAUGAUCAGGUAGAUAGGUUAGAAGUGGCAGUGCGGUGACGCAUGAAGCGGACUAAUACUAAUCGGUCGAGGACUUAACCAA
RNAcentral lists this ribosomal RNA (2921 nucleotides) under Lactiplantibacillus pentosus. Its description in RNAcentral is "23S ribosomal RNA". It matches the Rfam family "Bacterial large subunit ribosomal RNA". Lineage: Bacteria; Bacillati; Bacillota; Bacilli; Lactobacillales; Lactobacillaceae. The record is from RNAcentral.